Molecule: ribosomal RNA, 468 nt
Filed under: Triticum aestivum (bread wheat)
Lineage: Eukaryota; Viridiplantae; Streptophyta; Magnoliopsida; Poales; Poaceae
Description: partial small subunit ribosomal RNA
Source: RNAcentral
AUGGUGGGUUGGAUUGAAAAAAUGUUAUUGAGUGAACGAAAGCAGAUUUUGCUAAAAGUCGUGGCCCAAGAAAUUCCUGUUUAUACUAUGUAGGUGUUUAAACUUCCAAAAGGUGUAUGUAAAUAUAUAAUAGAUGCAAUUUCCAGAGUUUGGUGGGGAGAAGAUGAGAACAGCAAGAGAAUGCAUUGGUGGACAUGGUGGAAACUAUGCUUCCCUAAGAAAGAUGGAUGGAUGGGCUUUCGAGAACUCCAUUCUUUUAGUUUGGCAAUGUUGGAAAAACAUUGCUCAAGACUACUAGAUGAUCCAGAAUCCCUAUGUUCUAUGGUCCCGUGAGAAAAAUAUUAUCAUCUAGUGAUCUUCUUGUUGAUGGACCUAAAAAGGUAUCCUCCUUAUGGAAGAACAUUUUUGCCAGUAUUCAGACUUUCAAAGAGGGCCAUAUUUGAACAGUUGAAAACAUGGAUAAGGUAA